Molecule: long non-coding RNA, 1406 nt
Organism: Alexandromys fortis (reed vole)
Lineage: Eukaryota; Metazoa; Chordata; Mammalia; Rodentia; Cricetidae
Exons: 3
Source: RefSeq, a predicted model, not a curated record
AAUAAGUAAUACUUAGAGAUGGACAUGUAGCUCAGUGGUGGAGCAUUUGCCCGGUAUUUGCAAAGUCUUGGGUUCCAUCCGCAAAGCUGUAUAAACCGGGCUUGGUGAUGCAUGCCUGUAAUCCCAGUAUUUGGGAGGCAGAGGCAAAAGGCUCAGAAGUUCAAAGACAUCCUUGGAAAUGUAGCAAGUUUGAGGCCAGUCUGGGAUACAGACUAUCUCUUCCUUACCUCCCAAAAGACACAAAAAAAAGAACUUAUAUUCAGUUGAAAAGAAGAAGAAAAAUGUGGUGGACAUUUCAUUAAAAUAUGGAUCAUACAUAGGAUGGCAAAACAUGGGAACCAGGCUUCUGAAUUUCCUCAGAUAAUACUGAAUUGUAGUUGAAUUGUGUAGUUUUUAUGUGUGUGUAAUUCUCUUCUGAUAUCUUAGUAAAUUAAGGCCUAGAAGUGAUUCCUCAGAAUUUGAGUCGACAUCAGCUAAUUAUUACAUUUUUACAGGUGUUGCAUACUAUUUUCUUUUAAAAUAGUUUUAUUCAUUCUUUUAGACUUUUAUACAGUGUAUAUUGAUCAUAUUUACCUCCAAUUCUUCACCCUAGAUACUUUGUAUGUAUGUAUUCUUUUUUCUCCCAGAUACUUAACUGGUUCGUACAAAUUUGUCUUGGAGUAAAUCACAUUCACAAGAAACGUGUGUUACACCGAGAUAUCAAGUCCAAAAAUGUCUUCCUCACCCAAAGUGGAAAAGUGAAACUGGGAGAUUUUGGCUCCGCCCAUCUUCUCUCCAGUCCCAUGGCCUUUGCAUGUACGUACGUGGGAACGCCUUAUUAUGUGCCUCCAGAAAUUUGGGAAAAUCUGCCCUAUAACAAUAAGAGGUGGGUAGUGUCCUUAUUUGGAUAGUGUUGGGCAUUUGGCGGGAGGGGCUGGAUUCUGGUGCAGAUGCACAGAGCUUAUUUGCUUAGAGAUUUUGUUUGAGUUAUCUCUUGAGUGUCUAUGUGAGUGUGUAUACAUGUGCCAUGGGCUGUGUAGAGAGGUCAGAGGACACCCUUUUGGAAAUUGGUUCUCCCACCUUGUUGAAGAGGGGGGCUACCUCUUUGGUCGUUUCUGCUGCUGCACUGCACACCCUGGGCCACCUGACCCACGAGCUUCUAGUCGGUGCUACUAUCUCUCUUUCCAUCUUGAGGCUGGAGUGCCGAGAUCACAGAUGUGUGCGCCUGACUUUCUUACGUGCAUUCUGAAGGUCAAAAUCAAAUGGCCAGUUUUGUGGGGCAAGUGUUUGACCAGCCGAGCCACCUUCCCCACUCUGCUUUCCAAAGAUCUGCUUGGGGCUUUGGUGUCUGCAGUUCAUGAGUAGAAUAAUUUUGCCUAGCACGUGUCUUGGAUUUGAUUACCAACAUCACAGAAGUAAAAUUUCAU